Chelonoidis abingdonii (Abingdon island giant tortoise) is the source of this 86-nucleotide small nucleolar RNA. Lineage: Eukaryota; Metazoa; Chordata; Testudines; Testudinidae. The record is from Ensembl.
GUCCAGAAGACAGUGAUGUGGUAUUUUCCAAGCACAUAUCUGAUUGCUUUGUGUGGAAAUUCAACCAUUUCUGAGUGUUUUUGGAC